GACGAACGCUGGCGGCGUGCUUAACACAUGCAAGUCGAACGGUGAAGCGCCUUCCUUUUUGGUGGGUGUGGAUGAGUGGCGAACGGGUGAGUAACACGUGAGUAACCUGCCCCCUUCUUCUGGAUAACCGCAUGAAAGUGUGGCUAAUACGGGAUAUUCUGGGUCUGUCGCAUGAUGGGUCUGGGAAAGAUAUUGUUUCGGUGGGGGAUGGGCUCGCGGCCUAUCAGCUUGUUGGUGGGGUGAUGGCCUACCAAGGCGGUGACGGGUAGCCGGCCUGAGAGGGUGGACGGUCACACUGGGACAGAGGCACGGCCCGGACUGAGACGGGAGGCAGCAGUGGGGAAUAUGGCACAGUGGGCGAAAGCCUGAUGCAGCGACGCCGCGUGAGGGAUGGAGGCCUUCGGGUUGUGAACCUCUUUCGCUAGUGAAGCAGGCCUGCCUCGUUUGUGGGUGGGUUGACGGUAGCUGGAUAAGAAGCGCCGGCUAACUACGUG
RNAcentral lists this ribosomal RNA (494 nucleotides) under uncultured bacterium. RNAcentral's name for it is "partial 16S ribosomal RNA". It matches the Rfam family "Bacterial small subunit ribosomal RNA", at positions 28 to 507 of the family's 1533-position model. The record is from RNAcentral.